RNAcentral lists this ribosomal RNA (498 nucleotides) under uncultured bacterium. RNAcentral describes it as "partial 16S ribosomal RNA". It matches the Rfam family "Bacterial small subunit ribosomal RNA", at positions 28 to 523 of the family's 1533-position model. The record is from RNAcentral.
GAUGAACGCUAGCGGCAGGCCUAAUACAUGCAAGUCGGACGGGAUUGUGGAGCUUGCUUCACAUGAGAGUGGCGCACGGGUGCGUAACACGUAUGUAACCUACCCUUGUCAGGGGGAUAGCCUCUCGAAAGAGAGAUUAAGACCGCAUAACAUUGUUUUGUGGCAUCACAGAACAAUCAAAUAUUUAUAGGACAAGGAUGGGCAUGCGGAACAUUAGCUAGUUGGUAAGGUAACGGCUUACCAAGGCUACGAUGUUUAGGGGAUCUGAGAGGAGGGCCCCCCACACUGGUACUGAGACACGGACCAGACUCCUACGGGAGGCAGCAGUAAGGAAUAUUGGUCGAUGGGCGGAAGCCUGAACCAGCCAUGCCGCGUGCAGGAAGACGGCCCUACGGGUUGUAAACUGCUUUUACAGGGGAAUAAACCUCGGUACGUGUACCGAGCUGAAUGUACUCUGAGAAUAAGGAUCGGCUAACUCCGUGCCAGCAGCCGCUGUAA